UACGUAUGGUGCAAGCGUUAUCCGGAUUUACUGGGUGUAAAGGGAGCGCAGGCGGCACGGCAAGCCUGAUGUGAAAGCCCGCGGCCCAACCGCGGGACUGCAUUGGGAACUACCGGGCUGGAGUGCCGGAGAGGUAGGCGGAAUUCCUAGUGUAGCGGUGAAAUGCGUAGAUAUUAGGAGGAACACCAGUGGCGAAGGCGGCCUACUGGACGGUGACUGACGCUGAGGCUCGAAAGCGUGGGGAGCAAAUAGG
RNAcentral lists this ribosomal RNA (253 nucleotides) under uncultured bacterium. RNAcentral describes it as "partial 16S ribosomal RNA". It matches the Rfam family "Bacterial small subunit ribosomal RNA", at positions 524 to 776 of the family's 1533-position model. The record is from RNAcentral.